This 449-nucleotide ribosomal RNA is filed under the name uncultured bacterium. RNAcentral describes it as "partial 16S ribosomal RNA". It matches the Rfam family "Bacterial small subunit ribosomal RNA", at positions 29 to 523 of the family's 1533-position model. The record is from RNAcentral.
AACGAACGCUGGCGGCAGGCCUAACACAUGCAAGUCGAACGCUGUAGCAAUACAGAGUGGCAGACGGGUGAGUAACGCGUGGGAACGUGCCUUUCGGUUCGGAAUAACUCAGGGAAACUUGAGCUAAUACCGGAUACGCCCUUCGGGGGAAAGAUUUAUUGCCGAAAGAUCGGCCCGCGUCCGAUUAGCUAGUUGGUGUGGUAAUGGCGCACCAAGGCGACGAUCGGUAGCUGGUCUGAGAGGAUGAUCAGCCACACUGGGACUGAGACACGGCCCAGACUCCUACGGGAGGCAGCAGUGGGGAAUAUUGGACAAUAGGCGCAAGCCUGAUCCAGCCAUGCCGCGUGAGUGAUGAAGGCCCUAGGGUUGUAAAGCUUUUUCGCCAGGGACGAUAAUGACGGUACCUGGAUAAGAAGCCCCGGCUAACUUCGUGCCAGCAGCCGCCGCCG